RNAcentral lists this ribosomal RNA (370 nucleotides) under uncultured bacterium. RNAcentral's name for it is "bacterial SSU rRNA". It matches the Rfam family "Bacterial small subunit ribosomal RNA", at positions 527 to 896 of the family's 1533-position model. The record is from RNAcentral.
AGAGGGUGCGAGCGUUAAUCGGAUUUACUGGGCGUAAAGCGUGCGUAGGCGGCUUUUUAAGUCGGAUGUGAAAUCCCUGAGCUUAACUUAGGAAUUGCAUUCGAUACUGGGAAGCUAGAGUAUGGGAGAGGAUGGUAGAAUUCCGGGUGUAGCGGUGAAAUGCGUAGAGAUCUGGAGGAAUACCGAUGGCGAAGGCAGCCAUCUGGCCUAAUACUGACGCUGAGGUACGAAAGCAUGGGGAGCAAACAGGAUUAGAUACCCUGGUAGUCCAUGCCGUAAACGAUGUCUACUAGCCGUUGGGGCCUUUGAGGCUUUAGUGGCGCAGCUAACGCGAUAAGUAGACCGCCUGGGGAGUACGGUCGCAAGACUA